AGAGUUUGAUCAUGGCUCAGAGCGAACGCUGGCGGCAGGCCUAACACAUGCAAGUCGAACGAACCCUUCGGGGUUAGUGGCGGACGGGUGAGUAACACGUGGGAACGUACCUUUAGGUUCGGAACAACACAGGGAAACUUGUGCUAAUGCCGAAUGUGCCCUUCGGGGGAAAGAUUUAUCGCCUUUAGAGCGGCCCGCGUCUGAUUAGCUUGUUGGUGAGGUAAAGGCUCACCAAGGCUACGAUCAGUAGCUGGUCUGAGAGGAUGAUCAGCCACACUGGGACUGAGACACGGCCCAGACUCCUACGGGAGGCAGCAGUGGGGAAUCUUGCGCAAUGGGCGAAAGCCUGACGCAGCCAUGCCGCGUGAAUGAUGAAGGUCUUAGGAUUGUAAAAUUCUUUCACCGGGGAAGAUAAUGACGGUACCCGGAGAAGAAGCCCCGGCUAACUUCGUG
Molecule: ribosomal RNA, 453 nt
Filed under: uncultured bacterium
Lineage: Bacteria
Description: bacterial SSU rRNA
Rfam family: Bacterial small subunit ribosomal RNA
Source: RNAcentral